Eriocheir sinensis (Chinese mitten crab) is the source of this 657-nucleotide long non-coding RNA. RefSeq lists it as uncharacterized. The record is from RefSeq and is a predicted model, not a curated record. The transcript is spliced from 2 exons. Lineage: Eukaryota; Metazoa; Arthropoda; Malacostraca; Decapoda; Varunidae.
ACAAUAUCACCGCUGAAUUUAUCUAAUCUGUCCCUCUCCUUCCUGUCCACAACUGCUCUCUCUCUCUCUCUCUCUCUCUCUCUCUCUCUCUCCCUCUCUCCCUCUCUCUCCCUUAGCACGCAUGCCCGACACCUUCUCCCCUUUAAACACAACUAAAUAUCACGCCAUGACCCCAGGACUCCACAAAAUUACAAAAAUGAGGAAUGAGUAACUGAUGAAUUCCUGGAUUUGCUACAUAAUUUGACACCUAUAGAGGGAGGAUCAGAGCCUCUUGGGGGGUUGAUAAAGGGUUCAGAAGGGUUAAUGUAGCCUGGGAUAAGUAAUGUAGGUUUAAUAGAGGAUUGAAUACCCCAACAAGACCCAGUAAGGAGGAGGAGGAAACAUAGAUAGAAAUAUAGAUAAAACAACCAUUACAGUGUUUUAUAUAGGGUUUGUUAAGGGUUAAUGUAGCCUGGGGAAUAGUGUUAGAACCUUUGAUAGAGGAUUGAAUACCCCAGCAAGGAGGAGAAUUAGGAAACAUAGAUAGAAAUAUAGAUAAAACAACCAUUACAGUGUUUUAUAUAGGUUUGUUAAGGGUUGUGAAGGGUUAAUGUAGCCUGGGGAAUAGUGUUAGAACCUUUGAUAGAGGACUGAAUACCCCAGCAAGGAGGAGAAUUA